AUGAACGCUGGCGGCGUGCCUAAUACAUGCAAGUCGAGCGAACAGACGAGGAGCUUGCUCCUCUGACGUUAGCGGCGGACGGGUGAGUAACACGUGGAUAACCUACCUAUAAGACUGGGAUAACUUCGGGAAACCGGAGCUAAUACCGGAUAAUAUAUUGAACCGCAUGGUUCAAUAGUGAAAGACGGUUUUGCUGUCACUUAUAGAUGGAUCCGCGCCGCAUUAGCUAGUUGGUAAGGUAACGGCUUACCAAGGCAACGAUGCGUAGCCGACCUGAGAGGGUGAUCGGCCACACUGGAACUGAGACACGGUCCAGACUCCUACGGGAGGCAGCAGUAGGGAAUCUUCCGCAAUGGGCGAAAGCUUGACGGAGCAACGCCGCGUGUGUGAUGAAGGUCUUCGGAUCGUAAAACUCUGUUAUUAGGGAAGAACAAAUGUGUAAGUAACUAUGCACGUCUUGACGGUACCUAAUCAGAAAGCCACGGCUAACUACGUG
Molecule: ribosomal RNA, 496 nt
Filed under: uncultured bacterium
Lineage: Bacteria
Description: partial 16S ribosomal RNA
Rfam family: Bacterial small subunit ribosomal RNA
Source: RNAcentral